CAGGCUCAGGAGGGAAUCCUCCUCAAGCAGGUAAUUUGGGGGGCCUUGGGAAGUCCAUCCAUGCUCAGGAAAUUCUAGUGCCCUCUUGGCCCAUUGAAAGCUCUUGGCUCACUGUCUAUGCAUGGUGAUAUGGCUUUUCUGCCCACUUAGGGCCUGUUGUCCACAAAUAUUGGCACAGCUGAGCUCACAUGCACACAAGUAUACUCUGGUCUGUCCACAACAACUUUGUGUCAUUGUUUAAAAAUGGUUGUGACUGUGGGUUGUGAGGGAUGGUUAACACCCAGGCAGGGGGCCCCAAAUGUGCAGAUAUAAUGACCCUCCAAGAAGGCAACUUAAAGGAAUAGGCCAGCAAAGGGGAACUGAACAACCAGGGGCCUGCCUAUUGGAGCUCAUCGUAGAAGCAGACAAGGAGAGGGAGAAGCCCCAGCCCACUAGGGCGAUCAGGGCAUCAUCUCAGGCCUGAGCUGCCUGUGGAAGCAGUGUGGCCCUGCAGACAGAGUGGCAGUUCUGGAAGCUGAGUCAUCUGCCUUCAAAUCUUGUACCAGCCCCUCUCACAAAACUCAGUGCCU
This 569-nucleotide long non-coding RNA is filed under the name Bos taurus (domestic cattle). RNAcentral's name for it is "long non-coding RNA NONBTAT026818". The record is from RNAcentral. Lineage: Eukaryota; Metazoa; Chordata; Mammalia; Artiodactyla; Bovidae.